AUGUGGCGCUGUCACCACUUACCAGCAUUUAAGGAGUAUAUCUUUUUGUUUCUUGCAAAAAAGUUAAGGAGUAUAUUUUUCUUUUUGAAAAAAUUUAAGGAGUACAUUUUUGGCCUUUAUGACCAUGAUUGCUGCAAGCUGGCAUGCUGUGUGGACCGUUCUUCAGUUAUAUACAUGUUCUGGGUCGUCUUACUAGGCAUGUACGUUGCGCAUUCUGGCAAAAGUUGUUUUGCUCGUGGAAAUACACCGUGCACCCCAAAAUACCUGAGAUUGUUUGUUUACAUGUACAAACAAAUUUCAAGAAACCAAGCCAUGUGA
This 318-nucleotide ribosomal RNA is filed under the name Triticum aestivum (bread wheat). Its description in RNAcentral is "partial small subunit ribosomal RNA". Lineage: Eukaryota; Viridiplantae; Streptophyta; Magnoliopsida; Poales; Poaceae. The record is from RNAcentral.